GAGCAGAACAGCCGACGAGGCGACAAGGGCCUCCUCCGCUGCGCCCCGGCCCCGUGAUUCUUCCGCCGCCAGCUGUGUGUUGCCUGCUGCUGCCUACUUCCGCCGCGGCGCCCCUCCAAUCGCUGAUCUGGCGUAGGAUCAAUGUCAACUAUUUCUGAUCAGAAGAAACGGACCUUAGAAGCCAUUCAACAACGGUAUGCAGCAGCUAAAGCUAAGAAGCUGAAAGAUGAACAGCCUAAGUGCCCGAAGAACAAAGAUAGUACCCCCAAGCCCAAGUUUGAUGCACGGAUUAAAGGAAAAACUCCCAAAUUCACUCCUUCUCGAACUUCUGCCCUGCUCCCUACAUUUAGAGGUUUUUAUUUUGUUCACCAUUCUCCGUUCCAUUGAUGCAGAUUUUAUAUGUCACCAGUUUUUCUCAUACUGCUGCUGCUCCUCAGCUCAAGGAAAUUCCAGUCAUCAACAAAACACUUCUGGUUCCUCAGGUGGAGAAGUCAACCCUAUAUACUCUGAGCUUUCAUUUGUUCUCCAUGAAAAUUUGUCCCAAGAUGACUAUUCGGAUCUCGACAGCACGGACAUAGUUCACAAUGUUGUAUAUGACAUAAUUCAGAAAGGUGGAGAAGCCGGAAGAAUCGCCAAGGGAUCCAAAAAGUUAAAGCUGGAUAGAGGGAUUCUUUUGGAUAACUAUGUUCAAAGGGGUCCUAUAUUAGUGGAUGCACAAUCACAGUCUUUGUUGACCCACUCAAAGCGAUCAAAAAGACACAUGUCACUGAAGCAACAUAAGAAAUGUGGGUCAUUUGAUUUACAUGAUACAUUCCGCAGGUUUGACCUCUAUAAGCCAAUACAUGAAAUGUGGAAAGAGUAUAUGUGAGAGCUUACAAAAAGCACCCCGAAAAAGCAAUUGUCUGAAAACCUCCUUUCAGCAGAUCUUCAUGGGGCCCUUAUAAUAGUGGCACAAUGCAAAGCAGCCUCAUAUCAAGGUGUAAGUGGCAUCAUGAUUCGGGACACUGCAGAGACUUUUGGAAUUAUAUCGGAGGACAACCGCUUCCGAGUUGUGCCGAAAGCUGGGUCAGUUUUCGUCCUCCAAGCUGAUUGCUGGAAGGUUACACUGAUCGGCGACAAACUGUCGCCAAAGGAGAAGUUGAAGGAAAGCCAGCGUCUGCAGCGUGCGCAAUCACUGAUCAGAUAGAGUUUCGAGCCUGUUAGACUCUGUUUUCUGACAAAUUUUGCCGAGAGGAACUGCUACAGUUUUUCUUGCUUGGUUGUUGUUUCUGUUGAUUAACGUCAGUCUAUCCCUUCAUUGCUUAGCACUUGGCAGUUCUUGUUGCUCCACGUUGUAAGCCUGUCACUCCACCCUCGGCAAAGACGCGAUAAAUUCGAACACGCUUCUUGUGCAAGCUGCAUCCUUGUAGGAUAGGAACUACCAUACCAUGAUCAAUAACAGGUCUUUAUCGGAGAUUUUUUUUA
This 1464-nucleotide ribosomal RNA is filed under the name Triticum aestivum (bread wheat). Its description in RNAcentral is "partial small subunit ribosomal RNA". Lineage: Eukaryota; Viridiplantae; Streptophyta; Magnoliopsida; Poales; Poaceae. The record is from RNAcentral.